This 476-nucleotide ribosomal RNA is filed under the name uncultured bacterium. RNAcentral's name for it is "bacterial SSU rRNA". It matches the Rfam family "Bacterial small subunit ribosomal RNA", at positions 28 to 507 of the family's 1533-position model. The record is from RNAcentral.
GAUGAACGCUGGCGGCGUGCUUAACACAUGCAAGUCGAACGGAGAAAGGGUAGCUUGCUAUCUUUUCUUAGUGGCGGACGGGUGAGUAACGCGUGGGUAACCUGCCCUUUGCAGGGGGAUAACAGUGAGAAAUCACUGCUAAUACCGCAUACCAACUUCUUUCGCAUGAAAGAAGUUUGAAAGAUUUAUCGGCAAAGGAUGGACCCGCGUUGGAUUAGCUAGUUGGUGAGAUAACAGCCCACCAAGGCAACGAUCCAUAGCCGGCCUGAGAGGGUGAACGGCCACACUGGGACUGAGACACGGCCCAGACUCCUACGGGAGGCAGCAGUGGGGAAUAUUGCACAAUGGGCGAAAGCCUGAUGCAGCGACGCCGCGUGAAGGAUGAAGGUCUUCGGAUUGUAAACUUCUAUCAGCAGGGAAGAAAGGGCUUAUAGCCUAUGACGGUACCUGACUAAGAAGCCCCGGCUAACUACGUG